CGCGUAGGUGGUUUGUUAAGCGAGAUGUGAAAGCCCCGGGCUUAACCUGGGAACGGCAUUUCGAACUGGCAGGCUAGAGUGUGGUAGAGGGUAGUGGAAUUUCCUGUGUAGCGGUGAAAUGCGUAGAUAUAGGAAGGAACACCAGUGGCGAAGGCGGCUACCUGGACCAACACUGACACUGAGGUGCGAAAGCGUGGGAAGCAAACA
RNAcentral lists this ribosomal RNA (207 nucleotides) under uncultured bacterium. RNAcentral describes it as "partial 16S ribosomal RNA". It matches the Rfam family "Bacterial small subunit ribosomal RNA", at positions 568 to 774 of the family's 1533-position model. The record is from RNAcentral.